UGGCGACCGGCGCACGGGUGAGUAACGCGUAUCCAACCUGCCCUUUACUAUGGGACAGCCCGUCGAAAGGCGGAUUAAUACCGUAUGUUGUCAUGUUGAUGCAUAUUUUCAUGACCAAAGGCUUCGGCCGGUAAAGGAUGGGGAUGCGUCUGAUUGGCUUGCCGGCGGGGUAACGGCCCACCGGGGCGACGAUCAGUAGGGGUUCUGAGAGGAAGGUCCCCCACAUUGGAACUGAGACACGGUCCAAACUCCUACGGAAGGCAGCAG
This 267-nucleotide ribosomal RNA is filed under the name uncultured bacterium. Its description in RNAcentral is "partial 16S ribosomal RNA". It matches the Rfam family "Bacterial small subunit ribosomal RNA", at positions 89 to 354 of the family's 1533-position model. The record is from RNAcentral.